This 429-nucleotide ribosomal RNA is filed under the name uncultured archaeon. RNAcentral's name for it is "bacterial SSU rRNA". It matches the Rfam family "Archaeal small subunit ribosomal RNA", at positions 474 to 903 of the family's 1478-position model. The record is from RNAcentral.
UACCUGCAGCUCAAGUGGUGAUCGUUAUUAUUGGGCCUAAAACGUCCGUAGCCGGUCUUGUAAAUGCCUGGGUAAAUCGUAUGGCUUAACUAUACGAAUUCCGGGUAGACUGUUAGACUCGAGACCGGGAGAAGCUAGAGGUACUCCUGGGGUAGAGGUGAAAUUCUGUAAUCCUAGGGGGACCACCAGUGGCGAAGGCGUCUAGCUAGAACGGGUCUGACGGUGAGGGACGAAGCCCUGGGGCGCAAACGGGAUUAGAUACCCCGGUAGUCCAGGGUGUAAACGCUGCUUGCUUGAUGUUAGCCUGGCUCCGAGCCAGAUUAGUGUCGGAGAGAAGUUGUUAAGCAAGCUGCCUGGGAAGUACGGCCGCAAGACUGAAACUUAAAGGAAUUGGCGGGGGAGCACAGCAACGGGUGGAGCGUGCGGUUU